RNAcentral lists this ribosomal RNA (253 nucleotides) under uncultured bacterium. RNAcentral's name for it is "partial 16S ribosomal RNA". It matches the Rfam family "Bacterial small subunit ribosomal RNA", at positions 524 to 776 of the family's 1533-position model. The record is from RNAcentral.
UACGUAGGGUGCAGGCGUUAAUCGGAAUUACUGGGCGUAAAGCGUGCGUAGGCGGUUCGUUAAGUCAGCUGUGAAAGCCCCGGGCUCAACCUGGGAACUGCGGUUGAAACUGGCGAACUAGAAUCUGGCAGAGGGGGGUGGAAUUCCACGUGUAGCAGUGAAAUGCGUAGAGAUGUGGAGGAACACCGAUGGCGAAGGCAGCCCCCUGGGCUGAGAUUGACGCUCAGGCACGAAAGCGUGGGGAGCAAACAGG